GAUGAACGCUAGCGGCAGGCCUAAUACAUGCAAGUCGAACGAUAUUAUCAAGCUUGCUGGACUUGUAAGUGGCGCACGGGUGCGUAACGCGUAUGCAACCUACCUUAUUCAGGGGGAUAGCUCGAAGAAAUUCGGAUUAACACCGCAUAAACUCACAGUUCAGCAUUGGACAAUGAUCAAAUAUUUAUAGGAAUAAGAUGGGCAUGCGUGUCAUUAGCUAGUUGGCGGGGUAAUGGCCCACCAAGGCGACGAUGACUAGGGGAUCUGUGAGGAUGGCCCCCAACACUGUGACUAAGACACGGACCAGACUCCUACGGGAGGCAGCAGUAAGGGAUAUUAGUCAAUGGAGGUAACUCUGAACCAGCCAUGCCGCGGGCAGGAAGACGGCCCUCUGGGUUGUAAACUGCUUUUAUUCGGGAAUAAACCUAUUUACGUGUAAAUAGCUGAAUGUACCGAAGGAAUAAGGAUCGGCUAACUCCGUGCCAGCAGCCGCGGUAA
Molecule: ribosomal RNA, 498 nt
Filed under: uncultured bacterium
Lineage: Bacteria
Description: partial 16S ribosomal RNA
Rfam family: Bacterial small subunit ribosomal RNA
Source: RNAcentral